RNAcentral lists this ribosomal RNA (754 nucleotides) under archaeon LL25A1. RNAcentral describes it as "bacterial SSU rRNA". It matches the Rfam family "Archaeal small subunit ribosomal RNA", at positions 102 to 859 of the family's 1478-position model. RNAcentral also lists the same sequence under 1 other name. The record is from RNAcentral.
GGAUAACAUGCCCUAAGGUGGGGGAUAAUCUCGGGAAACUGAGGGUAAUACCCCAUAGGUCUGAUGUGCUGGAAUGCUUUCAGGCCGAAAACUCCGGUGCCUUAGGAUUGGUCUGCGGUCUAUCAGGCAGUAGUGGGUGUAACGGACCCACUAGCCCGUGACGGAUAUGGGCCUUGAGAGAGGGAGCCCAGAGAUGGACUCUGAGACAUGAGUCCAGGCCCUACGGGGCGCAGCAGUCGCGAAAACUUCGCAAUGGGGGCAACCCCGACGAGGGAAUUCCAAGUGCUAGCACUUUGUGUUAGCUGUUCUUCUGUCUAAAAAACAGGAGGAGUAAGGGGCGGGUAAGACGGGUGCCAGCCGCCGCGGUAAUACCCGCGCCCCAAGUGGUGGUCGAUAUUAUUGAGCCUAAAACGUCCGUAGCCGGUCUUCUAAAUCCUUGGGUAAAUCGGGCAGCUUAACUGUCCGAAGUCCGGGGAGACUGGGAGACUUGGGACCGGGAGAGGUCAGAGGUACUUCUGGGGUAGGGGUAAAAUCCUGUAAUCCUGGAAGGACCACCGGUGGCGAAGGCGUCUGACUAGAACGGAUCCGACGGUGAGGGACGAAGCCCUGGGGCGCAAACGGGAUUAGAUACCCCGGUAGUCCAGGGUGUAAACGCUGCGGGCUUGGUGUUGGGGGUCCUUAGUGGGCGCCCAGUGCCGGAGAGAAGUUGUUAAGCCUGCUGCUUGGGGAGUAUGUCCGCAAGGAUGAAACUUAA